CUGGGCGUAAGCGUGCGUAGGCGGCUUUUUAAGUCGGAUGUGAAAUCCCUGAGCUUAACUUAGGAAUUGCAUUCGAUACUGGAAAGCUAGAGUAUGGGAGAGGAUGGUAGAAUUCCAGGUGUAGCGGUGAAAUGCGUAGAGAUCUGGAGGAAUACCGAUGGCGAAGGCAGCCAUCUGGCCUAAUACUGACGCUGAGGUACGAAAGCAUGGGGAGCAAACAGGAUUAGAUACCCUGGUAGUCCAUGCCGUAAACGAUGUCUACUAGCCGUUGGGGCCUUUGAGGCUUUAGUGGCGCAGCUAACGCGAUAAGUAGACCGCCUGGGGAGUACGGUCGCAAGACUAAAACUCAAAUGAAUUGACGGGGGCCCGCACAAGCGGUGGAGCAUGUGGUUUAAUUCGAUGCAACGCGAAGAACCUUACCUGGCCUUGACAUACUAAGAACUUUCCAGAGAUGGAUUGGUGCCUUCGGGAACUUAGAUACAGGUGCUGCAUGGCUGUCGUCAGCUCGUGUCGUGAGAUGUUGGGUUAAGUCCCGCAACGAGCGCAACCCUUUUCCUUAUUUGCCAGCGGGUUAUGCCGGGAACUUUAAGGAUACUGCCAGUGACAAACUGGAGGAAGGCGGGGACGACGUCUAGUCAUCAUGGCCCUUACGGCCAGGGCUACACACGUGCUACAAUGGUCGGUACAAAGGGUUGCUACCUCGCGAGAGGAUGCUAAUCUCAAAAAGCCGAUCGUAGUCCGGAUCGCA
This 748-nucleotide ribosomal RNA is filed under the name Acinetobacter schindleri. RNAcentral's name for it is "bacterial SSU rRNA". It matches the Rfam family "Bacterial small subunit ribosomal RNA", at positions 554 to 1302 of the family's 1533-position model. The record is from RNAcentral. Lineage: Bacteria; Pseudomonadati; Pseudomonadota; Gammaproteobacteria; Moraxellales; Moraxellaceae.